This 1582-nucleotide long non-coding RNA is filed under the name Macaca mulatta (Rhesus monkey). RNAcentral's name for it is "lncRNA (ENSMMUG00000055176.1)". Lineage: Eukaryota; Metazoa; Chordata; Mammalia; Primates; Cercopithecidae. The record is from RNAcentral.
CUGACUAGAGCCCAGGUCAGCCUGGAGGUCGCAGGCUUGUAUAUCCCUGGAGGGCCAUGUGGGCUGUUUGCUCUCUUGAGCCCGAGCCGAGACCUCUAGCGUUAUUCUCCCCACUACAGUGUUUUGCAAUGGGCAGCUCCAUAAACAGAGCUACAGGGUGGACCUUCUUUGCUUCUCCCUUUCAGAAUUCAAAAAGACCCUGGAAGAGGCCAUUCGAAGCGACACAUCAGGGCACUUCCAGCGGCUCCUCAUCUCUCUCUCUCAGGGAAACCGUGAUGAAAGCACAAAUGUGGACAUGUCCCUCGCCAGAGAGAUGCCCAGGUGAGUGUGAUGGCCAAGCCCCUGGACUUCCUAAAGCAGGGUGUACCUCGCUUUCUUGCUUCCUGAGAGAGGUGCCCUAGGGUGGAAAGAACAAUAGAUAAGCAGUGGGUUGCAGAUGCCACGAGUUUCAGACGUGCUGAACUGCUCAACUGUAUGACCUAGAGCAGGUCGUCUGACCUCCUGGGGCUUCACCUUCCCCACCUACGGAAGGAACAUGUGAGAUAAUUAGUAUUUCAGCAGUUGAUAGAUCACGGUUUUGGAUGUGGGAUUUCGUGCGACUGCGUACUUUCCCCAUGGUUUAGUUGCACAUACCAUUGUUUGCAAAGGGGCAGAAUUUGCACUUGCCUAUUAGUUUUUUGAGGGUUUGAGCCUAGAAACCAGCUGCCACAUUAGUUGAGCAGCCUUAGAAUUCUGUCCUUGUCCACCUGUGAGUUGCAGACAAAAGGGGAAACGUCCAAGCAGUCCAGGCAUCUGAGCUACUCUCUAGAAAAGUUUGGGUUUCCCGCUAAUGAAUUUCAACCGUAGUGUUAUGGCAGGGCAGAGCCAUGACUUCCUGGUGGGGUAGAGUUAGCCAUACCUCUCUGUCCCCCUUCACUGCCCUUGUCAUCCAUGGCAGGGCAUUCACCAGGAGCUGCCAGUGGUCUAAUUAUCUCUACCAUCUGCAGGUUUCGAAUGAGACCCCAAGGAGUGCCCCCCUUGUUAGGACUGGAGGAGAGCUACUCCUCUGGACUGGUCCUUUGCUUUCCAGAUGAGGAAACUGAGGCUCAAAAAAGUUGAGCACUGUUCCUAACUGAAAGCUAGAGGCAGAGCCCGGACAAGGGCCUAUACCCCUGGCUCGGUCCUCCAUGCCCAGUUAGCACCUGCCUCUGCCCUGGUCUCUGCCCUGCUGCUCCUGCAGGGGUCUGCCUUAUUCAGUGUCUCUCUGGCUGGUGACAUCCAUUCCCAUUCUGGGAGUCAGAGCUGGACAUCCCUGGGGCUCAGGGCUCUGGCUUUUGCUCCAGCGAGAGUUUUGCGUGCCAGUUUUAGCAGGGCAGAAAUUGUCUCAUGCUCUGCCUUCUCAGUUCAGACCUGCUUUGGCGUCAUCUUGACCUGUGGGAUCUCAGCCCCUGAUUGCUGCUUUCUGCUCUUUUUCAGGGCUGCUACCUGAGGCCUAGUAGGCACGUUAGAGGCCAUCUAGUUCAGAGGUUGCAAAUUGGCAAAUACUUUAGGCUCAAACCUUCAGAAGUUUACCAGGCUCUCCUGGGUGACCUGCUCCUGGGGU